GACGAACGCUGGCGGCGUGCUUAACACAUGCAAGUCGAACGCUGAAGCUCAGCUUUUGUUGGGUGGAUGAGUGGCGAACGGGUGAGUAACACGUGAGUAACCUGCCCCCUUCUUUGGGAUAACGCCCGGAAGCGGGUGCUAAUACUGGAUAUUCACUGGUCUUCGCAUGGGGGUUGGUGGAAAGGGUUUUUCUGGUGGGGGAUGGGCUCGCGGCCUAUCAGCUUGUUGGUGGGGUGAUGGCCUACCAAGGCUUUGACGGGUAGCCGGCCUGAGAGGGUGACCGGUCACAUUGGGACUGAGAUACGGCCCAGACUCCUACGGGAGGCAGCAGUGGGGAAUAUUGCACAAUGGGCGAAAGACUGAUGCAGCGACGCCGCGUGAGGGAUGGAGGCCUUCGGGUUGUGAACCUCUUUCGCUAAUGGUCAAGCCGCAACAAUGGUUGUGGUGAGGGUAGUGGGUAAAGAAGCGCCGGCUAACUACGUG
Molecule: ribosomal RNA, 483 nt
Filed under: uncultured bacterium
Lineage: Bacteria
Description: partial 16S ribosomal RNA
Rfam family: Bacterial small subunit ribosomal RNA
Source: RNAcentral